UACGUAGGGGGCGAGCGUUGUCCGGAUUCAUUGGGCGUAAAGAGCUCGUAGGCGGUUCGGUUAGUCAGAUGUGAAAACUCCGGGCUCAACUCGGAGAGGCCAUCUGACACUGCCGUGACUGGAGUUCGGUAGAGGAGUGUGGAAUUCCCGGUGUAGCGGUGAAAUGCGCAGAUAUCGGGAGGAACACCAGCGGCGAAGGCGGCACUCUGGGCCGAUACUGACGCUGAGGAGCGAAAGCGUGGGGAGCGAACAGG
Molecule: ribosomal RNA, 254 nt
Filed under: uncultured bacterium
Lineage: Bacteria
Description: partial 16S ribosomal RNA
Rfam family: Bacterial small subunit ribosomal RNA
Source: RNAcentral